Molecule: ribosomal RNA, 383 nt
Filed under: uncultured bacterium
Lineage: Bacteria
Description: partial 16S ribosomal RNA
Rfam family: Bacterial small subunit ribosomal RNA
Source: RNAcentral
CCUACGGGUGGCAGCAGUAGGGAAUAUUGCUCAAUGGGGGAAACCCUGAAGCAGCAACGCCGCGUGGAGGAUGAAGGUUUUCGGAUUGUAAACUCCUUUUGUUAGAGAAGAUAAUGACGGUAUCUAACGAAUAAGCACCGGCUAACUCCGUGCCAGCAGCCGCGGUAAUACGGAGGGUGCAAGCGUUACCCGGAAUCAGUGGGCGUAAAGAGCGCGUAGGCGGGAUAGAAAGUCAGAUGUGAAAUCCUAUGGCUAAACCGUAAAAUUGCAUUUGAAACGGUUUUUCUAGAGGAUGGGAGGGGUAGAUGAAUGUCUUGGGUAAGGGGUAAAAGCAUUAGAAUUCAAGAGGACACCUCAUUGGAAGGGCUACCUGCUAGACCAGA